GACGAACGCUGGCGGCGUGCUUAACACAUGCAAGUCGAACGGAAAGGCCCUGCUUUUGUGGGGUGCUCGAGUGGCGAACGGGUGAGUAACACGUGAGUAACCUGCCCUUGACUUUGGGAUAACUUCAGGAAACUGGGGCUAAUACCGGAUAGGAGCUCCUGCUGCAUGGUGGGGGUUGGAAAGUUUCGGCGGUUGGGGAUGGACUCGCGGCUUAUCAGCUUGUUGGUGGGGUAGUGGCUUACCAAGGCUUUGACGGGUAGCCGGCCUGAGAGGGUGACCGGCAACAUUGGGACUGAGAUACGGCCCAGACUCCUACGGGAGGCAGCAGUGGGGAAUAUUGCACAAUGGGCGGAAGCCUGAUGCAGCAACGCCGCGUGCGGGAUGACGGCCUUAGGGUUGUAAACCGCUUUCGCCUGUGACGAAGCGUGAGUGACGGUAAUGGGUAAAGAAGCACCGGCUAACUACGUG
Molecule: ribosomal RNA, 468 nt
Filed under: uncultured bacterium
Lineage: Bacteria
Description: partial 16S ribosomal RNA
Rfam family: Bacterial small subunit ribosomal RNA
Source: RNAcentral